Long non-coding RNA from Myotis myotis, 6676 nucleotides. RefSeq lists it as uncharacterized. The record is from RefSeq and is a predicted model, not a curated record. The transcript is spliced from 4 exons. Lineage: Eukaryota; Metazoa; Chordata; Mammalia; Chiroptera; Vespertilionidae.
GGUGCUGGCGCCGACCGUCUUGGCUGAAGGAAACACACAGCAGGUCCGACUGAGUAAGAACCAGGCUGGGCAGCUCACACCCUAACCUGCGUUUCCUCAAGACGAGCUUAUCAAGGUGACCGAGGGCCCAGUAUAGGAACCCAAACUACAGGACUCCAGCAGGCAAGCUGGGAAGAAUCAGUCUGACACCAAACACACAGGCAACAGAAGAAAACAGACUCAGCUGGACUUCAUCAAAAUUAAAAGCUUCUGUGCAUCAAAUGACACUAUCAGAGUGAAAAGGCAACCCACAGAACGGGAAACAUAUUGGUGAAUCAGGUAUCUGAUUAGGAACUUGUAUCCAGAGUACAUUUUAAAAGCUCUUACCACUCAAUAACUGAAAGACAACUGAGAAAUGGGCCAGGAGAGACUUUCUCCAGAGAAGGCACACCAACGGCCAACAAGCACAUGCCACGAUGCUCAGCACGGUUAGUUCCGAAGAAAGUGCCAACCAAUGCCCAUCAAAGCCACCUCAAGGCAGCACCUGUACUGCCAGGACAGCCAUGAUGGUUUCUAAGCAGCCAAUAGCCAGGGUGGGUAAGGGGUGGAGACUGGAGUCCUCAUUGGCCGCUGCGCAUGUGAGGCCGCGGCGCCAAGUCUGGUUCUGUGAGAAGCUAAGCUAGAAGCAUCGCACGGCCCAGGAGCCCUCUCCCAGGCCUCUGUCCCAGAGAGUUCAAAGCAGGGACUCACACAGACAUUUGCACACAGACGUUCCUGCCAAGACCCCAUCAGGCAUGUUCACAGCAGCACCCAUCACUGUGGCCGAGGCGGAAACGGCCCAAUGCCACCCACGAAGGAUAAACAAAGCGUGGGCUGUCCACACCAGAGUACCACUCGGCGAUAAGGCCGAGGACUCGCCCACCCGCCCACCCGGGCAAACUGGAGACACGACUGUGAGUGGAAGGAGUGAGGCCCAGCAGGCACGCAGGCUGACUCCACGUCUAUGGGAUCAGCGAGGUGCGUGCACAGGACAGGCGGUGCUGUGGGUGUCGGGACGCGGGAAGAGGCGGCAGGAAGGGACUGAUUGACGGACACAUUUCGGCGCAGGGGCAGACAGGGGCAGGACACGCGGAUUGCCCAACGCCCGUGGUCGUGCACUUCCAAACGGUGAGGUGGUGCGUUUAUCACAACAAAAAUCAGCCUCGACAGGACUCUCAGCCUCGCCCAGAAGGCAGGUGUCGGCAGAGAGUGUGGAUCCCAGAAAAGGUGACUCAGCAGGGACAGGAGGCGUGGCGCCAAGGAGCCGUCUCCGAGCUGAGUGCCAGCGCCCGGGUCUGCCCGCGCUGCACUGGCAAGCCCGGCGGGAAUACAGCCAGGAGCUGCCAGGAGGCGCACCGUCCGAGCCCAACCAGCACAUCGGAUUAACCCCCGGGUCCUACAGACUUGCAGGGACUGACACUCCCCUCUCAUCUGAUUCCAAAACCUCAAUCGGGGGUGCACCCGCCCCCAUCUGCGGAGGGGCCAGGGGAGCCGAGGGACGCAGAGAGGUGGCAGCCCCUCCCGUGGGUCCUGGGGUUUUCACGUGCUGGAAGCCGCUCACCGAACUCCUCCCCGCUCGAGGGCUGGUAGAAGAUGGUGUAGUUGCGGAUGAAGCCGUUUCUCAGAUGUUUGGGGAUCUCUUCCCACCUGAUGGUGACAGUGUUCACGCCGAUGCCCUCCACCUUGGUCACGGGACCUACUGACGGGGCUUGAUGAGAAGGGGAGAGACUAACGAAAGCUGCACCCUCUGACGAAAGGAUGGCCCCCCGGAAGGAGAAGUGAGACAGACCCUUCUCCACCGGGCCCAGCUGUGGCGCAGGUGCUGUCCUGCACAUCCUGUGCUGGCGGACGCCCUGGGCCCGGUUCUCGGCCUGCGUCCCUGCGGUGAGGUCUCCCCUGCAGGACGGUAAGCAGGAGAAGUUCGGCUGGUGGGCGGCUACGACCUCACUCAGUCCCACACGGAUCAGGGGCCUCCCUGAAGGGAAGGCAUUCCCGGCACCAAGCCCCUGGGGAGGGGCCGGCUCUGAAACAGGGGCCAGACCGAAGGGGCCGGUCGGACAGAUGGACCAACGCUGGGGCCACCCACAUGGUCGGGGGGUCUGGGAAGGCUAUCUGAUGUGCCCGUCCAGCCGCGCUGGGAAAGCCGAGAAGUGCGCGCCCAGCCCGCCAAGUGCUGGCAUCACGUUCCCGCCUGCGCCUCCUCGAAGGACGUGGAGACAGUGAGAAGGAGCACAUCUCCUCAGGGGGCGUGGCUACCUCUCCGGAUCGUCCAGUUCCUGGCCCCGGUCACCGCCUCCCAGCGCACGGUGGGGGGCUCGGAGUCCAGAUCGGGGGACCACUCCACCCUCCAUGAGUCCACGUGCGGAGUGGAGUUCUGCCACGCCACCACCAGCUGGUCCUGCGAGAGGUGGGCCUGCACGGCCUUGACGCCCGGGAACGCUGCGGGCAGAGGGGCAGACCAGCCUCUGAAUGCGUUCCCGCAGCUGCCGCCGCACACGCCCGCCGCCGCCACACACGCCCGCUGCCUCGGCGCCGCUCACACCCGAGCCGGGGAGCAGCCAGGGCUCAGGGCCUCCCCUGGCACCCCCGUGGCGGUGCCCUCACCCCCUUAUGGUCCCUUCCCCGCCCACCUUCGCUGAUCGAGUGCCCUCUGAUCUUCCCUUUUCUCCCAGAAGGUGUUCUCGCUGCGGCACUGAGACUCGAGGACUCACCUUUGCAGGUGCCCUCAAGUCACAGUGACUGCCAGCCUGCGGCCAGAAGGAGCCCCUGAGGACAUGGAGCCUGGACGAGGCGGGCGGGGCAGGAGCUUGAGCCAGAGUCCACCCCGAAUCCGGGGCUCCUCCCCUGCCCCUGGCUCACAGCCGCCACCUCCACGGGGAGGCCCAGGUGCCCGCGGGGUCAUCAGUGGAGGCGAAGGGGAAUGGGAGCGAGCAGCGGGCGGGCGCGCACGAGGUCAGUGCCCACGACGCGGGGGCCUCGGGAGAGCCCAGGCACGGAGCACACGUGUGGCUGUGGCACUGUGCCCGCGUGCAGGCUCGGCCAGCGCCCACACCUUGGACAGAACAAGCUGCACGUGGAACGUGCGGCCAGGCCUCUCUGCGUCACGCGAUUGAUGAGUCUGACUCAUCACAGGCUGCGCCCGAAGGACCAACCUCCAGGGGCUCAUUGGUCAGCAGAUGCCGCCCCUCCCACCAGAACCUCGCGGCCUCUCCUCGGCUGUCACCCUCACUGAGAGGCAGCCACCGUGGCGCCCUGGCCCCCUGGACGGCGGCAUCUCGGCAGGAGGUGACGUGGGACUCACCCUCCUCGGUGGCGGCCGGGAUGCGCAGGGCGGCGGCCGGACCCUGGCCCAGCGAGUUAUAGGCCACCACCGACACCCGGUAGGCCUCGGCGCCCAGCGUCAGCUCCAGCGGCUGGCGGGUGGUGUUCAUGGUCUCCGUGAGGUUGGUGGUGUUUUCCGGAAAGUACCAGACGUGGUAGCCGAGUACUCUCUCCAGGGCCGGGGCUCCUCUGGCCUUCUGAGCACGGGAAACCCAGUUUAUUGCCAAAAACAACAGAGGAAAGGCCCUGAGCCGGUGAUGGAUGGUGAGGGGAGAAGGGUGAGGCCAGCUCUUGUGCAAGCGACACGCAGGUAGGUCCCCUCCUGGGUGAACAGCACCCGCGCUGGGCCCCCCCUUCUGGGGCCAGAGAGGGAUGUGCUGGGCCCUUGGCAUCAGCGUUAACGGGGCCUCCUGCCCAGGGCUGGGGGGCCGGGCCUGCACAGGGUGCCCAUUUCCUGUCGCUGCGUCUUCCCUCCGUCCCACAUGGACACAGAACACGAGCUAAACGCAGAGCCAAGCCCAGGCUGUCCUGGCCGCGGGUCACCCCUUGCCUGGAAGGCCCUGACGGGUAUCUCCACCCCCAGGCACCCAGGCACCCAGCCUGAUGGGCUGCGCUCUCAGUCCUCAGUCCUGGGUGAGAGGCCCAGCUUCCUUCCAGCCUCCACCUGCUCUGCCUCCGCCUGCAGAUGGCCCACAAGGCUCCCACCCACGGCCAGUGCCUCUGCGCUUCCCUCUGCACUGUCCUGAGGUCCAUGUUCCACGUGGAAGGACAGAGGGCCAGGGCCUGAAUGCAACCCAGGACCUGCAAGUUUCAUAACAUAGAAAAGGAAAUGCCACGCCCAGCACCUCUGGCAGCCAACACAGCGAGACACAAACCAGGUGGAUGCAAAAGGAAGGUCUCUACGUGCCGGGCGCUCAGCAUGCAGGCGCCUGCGGGGAAACGCUCCCACCGAGGGCGGCGGGAGGGCGCGCUGCGCUCUGUCUCCGUUCUCACUGCAGAGAAGAGAGAGCGAGUCCAGCUCGACACCAGCGGCCAGUCACCUCCGCUCUGGGCCCUGGUCGGAACACCCCGUGGCAUGACUUACCCAGUGGGUGCUGUUCGCUGUUCUGAACCGAAGCCUGCAUUGCAACGCGGAAGAGGCGGGGGCCAGCUCAGGCUUGGCCCAUUGUAUCUGAAGCAUCCGUUUGAAGCCCAAAACUGGUUUCACACUGGAAAUCACAGAAUUUGAACAAGGGAAGUGUGAGGCAGUGAAAAGUUGGAAUUCAUCCUGGUGGUUACUGACGACAGGAUCACACAGCGAGUUGGUGGCAGAAAAGGCACCCUCCCUCCAGUCCUGGGCCCGAAGAAGAAAAGCUUUAUCACACAUUCUACGAGGAGGAAGAAUGCAGCUGAAUACAGUAAAUAGAUCUGUCCCCUGUGUGUGACCGGGGACAGCUGUCAGCCCGACCACAGCCACCCCCUCCCCCUUCCCCCCUGCAGUGUCUGAUCCUGUCAGCUGGGCUGCAAGCAGCCACACUGUCACACGCCAUCACCUGGCGGCUGGAUGCCAGAGGGGUCACCCUGCUGAAUGCCCAGGGGCCACUCAGAAGCUGUCACUGAGAACACAGACGUCCUGAGCCCGCCUCCUCCCCUCCCUCCAGCACACAGCCCUGCACUUACUGAGUCCUCCUGACCCUGUACCACGUGUGACUGGCUUCUUUCUCUGGGCUCCAGGUGCAGGUAAAAUUCUUCCCGUAGUAGUAGAUGCAAGAAAUGUUCUCGGGCUUGGCUGGCAGAGCUGAAACACACACAGACACACACACACACAGACUUCAGUGCGUGGGAACAUGCCAGCAUCGAGCGCUUGGAGGAAAACAGCGACCGGACGCGGGGUUGGCUGGUGAGCUGCGAGGUCUGGCAUUUUCUCCUCAUCGGGGCCGUGGGAAGACUCUCAUUCCGUCCCUUGGGAAAUAUGACAGGCCAUCUUACCACGUCGGCACAUGCGUCCACAUACAUCCACGUGCACACGGCCCCAACCCCCUCUGCAGGGCCCACAAACCCCCUGCUGCCCCUCCUGUGCCCGGGGCCCAGUGCCCCUCUGCUCUCAAUGGGCAAUUCCUGUCCAGAGAAGGCAAUGACUCACGCAGCCCAGCCCAGCAGGCGCACAGCCCACCUACCUGCCAGGCCGCCUGGGCAGAGCAGAGGGAGCGCCCACAGCACCCAGGCCCACAUGGUCCCGCGUCUGCGGAGAGAACCGAGUGUCCUCGGUCAGUUAGCUGGCUCCGUGUCGGUUCAGCAAGCAGAGUCCUAGGCACAAACACGCCUGAGCCCUUGUUUUUUUCCAUCUUAUUUCAUGUUAUGCGUCGACUGUCAUCACACAGACCCCUUUACACUCACUCCGUCCACCCGUCCACAACUGUUCUGUCCACAGUUCAUUCCACACGUGACAUGGAAGGUACUGUGCUGAGAACACACUCCCGGGAGAAGUGGGUGAGCUCUGCGGGUCUGAGCCCAUCCUUGCCUCGGCCCUGGUGCCCAGCCAAACGCACGGCUCACCGUUUCCCCCAUGCACCAGGGUGUCUUCACCCCACGCUCCGUCCGUGGGCUCCUUCCGCCUAAAUGUCCUUCCCCGAGUCCUGGCAGGUGACCCACCCUCCAGAGCCACCUCAGCUGACCUCCUCCGGACACCUGCCUCCUCCAGCGCCCACAGGGAGGUGGCCGUGGCCCCGGCCCGCCCCUGUCUGCCACCCCAGCGCGUGGGGCCGGGUACCUGUCCUCCAGCGGCUCCUGUAGCAUCUCCCACGCCCCUCGGAGCCUGUGGUCAGGGCGAUGCCUGGUCUGUGGGAUGCACCAGCACCGAGCCUGCCCUCCCGUCCCAGCUGCGCCGCGGGACAGUGGCAAGCAAUGCCUCCUUUUAGGAAGAAGCGAAUGGAACAGCAUCGCAGCUGCCAGGCCCUUGUAGGGAACAACACGUUCUCCACCCAGGCGGUCACUGGAGGGACCUCCCUUCCACGCGCAGUGUUUCUGGAGAAAACCACAGAGGCAAUCGUCUCUGAUAGGAACAAAUUGAGAAUGCCCAGGGCAGCCGUAAUGAGCUCGAUGGGGAACAGUGGCAACGCCUGGGGAGCGGGGAGAGCCUGGGCCGCGCUGCCCUCACACAGGCUGUUCUGCCAACAACCGUGUUGACUGAAAUGAGUUUGAAACCUACAGAGAACAAUUUCCCAUUGUCCAUGAAGAAGAUUCCCUGUGAUGGGAUUAGCGUCUUCACUGUCUAAUUACUGUCUUCAGCUUUUCACCUUGGAGCCAGAGACGCGCCCUCACAAGCCCUGGCGCAGCGGGAGGGGCCUCGGGACGGAGC